UGGGGAAUAUUGGACAAUGGGCGCAAGCCUGAUCCAGCCAUGCCGCGUGAGUGAUGAAGGCCCUAGGGUUGUAAAGCUCUUUCACCGGUGAAGAUAAUGACGGUAACCGGAGAAGAAGCCCCGGCUAACUUCGUGCCAGCAGCCGCGGUAAUACGAAGGGGGCUAGCGUUGUUCGGAUUUACUGGGCGUAAAGCGCACGUAGGCGGACUAUUAAGUCAGGGGUGAAAUCCCGGGGCUCAACCCCGGAACUGCCUUUGAUACUGGUAGUCUUGAGUUCGAGAGAGGUGAGUGGAAUUCCGAGUGUAGAGGUGAAAUUCGUAGAUAUUCGGAGGAACACCAGUGGCGAAGGCGGCUCACUGGCUCGAUACUGACGCUGAGGUGCGAAAUCGUGGGGAGCAAACAGG
This 404-nucleotide ribosomal RNA is filed under the name Actinomycetes bacterium. Its description in RNAcentral is "Actinobacteria bacterium partial 16S ribosomal RNA". It matches the Rfam family "Bacterial small subunit ribosomal RNA", at positions 355 to 776 of the family's 1533-position model. Lineage: Bacteria; Bacillati; Actinomycetota; Actinomycetes. The record is from RNAcentral.